Molecule: ribosomal RNA, 253 nt
Filed under: uncultured bacterium
Lineage: Bacteria
Also listed under: 1 other name
Description: partial 16S ribosomal RNA
Rfam family: Bacterial small subunit ribosomal RNA
Source: RNAcentral
GACGGAGGGGGCUAGCGUUGUUCGGAAUUACUGGGCGUAAAGAGUGCGUAGGCGGUUUAGUAAGUUGGAAGUGAAAGCCCGAGGCUUAACCUCGGAACUGCUUUCAAAACUACUAAUCUAGAGUGUAGUAGGGGAUGAUGGAAUUCCUAGUGUAGAGGUGAAAUUCUUAGAUAUUAGGAGGAACACCGGUGGCGAAGGCGGUCAUCUAGGCUACAACUGACGCUGAGGCACGAAAGCGUGGGGAGCAAACAGG